GUAGACAUUGUGGUUGUGCUCAAGAGACACACUGAGCAGGAAAAAGGCUGCAGACAGACAUUUAAAUAGAGAUGGAUUAGUGUUAUUGUCCUACAGAAUAAUGUAGCAUCAUGCAAACCAAAGUUCCACUAGUGCACAAUCUGCCAAGUCUGACCAUUCUGCUGCUGCUGUGAUUAGGUCAGUGCCACACGGAUGUGGUCUCCACAGCCACUCUGGACUACCCCCCAAAGUCCCUACAUGAAGAGGGUUCUCCUCCCUCACUGGAAGCGUUUUAUUAAAUGUCACUCAGAAGUGCAUUCUAUGAUGUCAGGUUCAGUCAAACACCCUCCAUUUUUUUAUUUUAAGGAAAUUUUUUCUUUAAGUUAUUGGCCACCAGACUCUUACGACAUCUGUGCAGAUGUGAUAAAGUGCCUUAACACAUUUGGAGCUGUAUUAGUUCAGUUGAAUAAAUGAUUUUUUUAUAGAACUAAAUGUUUGUUUUGUUAAACUUGCAGACGUAUUACUAUAUUUGAGCUGACAUAUGGCCCCAUCUCCCCAUCUAUUUCAUAAUUCCAUUUAAAAAAUGUAACUUGUAUAUUAUAUUCAUUCAUUACACACAGACUGAUAUAUUUUAAAUCUUUCUUUAAUUUUGAUGAUUAUAACUGACUAAUGAAAAACCCAAAUUGAGUAUCUCAGAAAAUGAGAAUAUUGUGAAAAGGCUCAAUAUUGAAGACACCUGGUGCCACAGUCUAAUCAGCUAUUUAAUUCAAAAUACCUGCAAAGGCUUUUAAAUUGUCUCUCAGUCUAGUUCUGUAGGCUAUACAAUCUUGCUACACAACUUGACAGUUGUCCAAAAGACGGCCACUAACACCUUGCACAGGGAGGCAAGACACAAAAGGUCAUUGCAAAAGAGUCUGGCUGUCACAGAGCUCUGUGUCCAAGCAAAUUAAUAGAAAGGUGGACGGAAGGAAAAGAUAUGGUGGAAAAAGUGGACAAGCACUAGGCAUAACCGCACCCUGGAGAAGAUUGUAAAACAAAACCCAUUUAAAAAUGUUUGUGAGAUUCACAAAGAGUGGACUGCAGCUGGAGUCAGUGUUCAAGAAGCACUACGCACAGAGAAAAUGCAAGACAUAGGUCUCAGCUGUCGCAUUCCUUGUGUCAAGCUACUCUUGAACAACAGACAGCAUCAGACGCGUCUUGCCUGGGCUAAAGACAAAAAGGACUGGACUGCUACUGAGUGCUCCAAAAUUAUGUUCUCUGAUGAAAGGAAAUUUUGCAUUUCCUAUAGAAAUCGGGGUCCCAGAGUCUGGGGAAAGAGACACCCAGAAUCCACGUUGGAGUCCACUGUAAAGUUUAAACAUUCAGUGAUGGUUUGGGGUGCCAUGCCAUCUGCUGGUUUUGGUCCACUGUGUUUUCCAAGGUUCCAGGUCAAUGCAGCCGUAUAACAGGAAGUUUUAGAGCACUGCAUGCUAUCUGAUGCUGACUAACUUUAAGGAGAUGCAGAUUUCAUUUUCCAAUAGAACUUGGCACCUACACACAGGGCCAAAGCUACCAGUACCUGUUUUAAGGACCAUGAUAUCCCUGUUCUUAAUUGGCCAGCAAACUCGCCUGACCUUAACCCCAUAGGAAAACUAUGGGGUAUUGUAAAGAGGAAGAUGUGAUAGAGCUAACAAUGCAGUGCAGAAGAGCUGAAGGCCACUAUCACAGCAACCUCUCAUAACUCUCUCAUAACACCUGAGCAGUGGCACAGACUGAUGGACUCCAUGCCAUGCUGCAUUGCUGCAAUAAUUCAGGCAAAAAGAGCCUCAGCCAAGUAUUCAGUGCUGUACAUGCUCAUACUUUUCAUGUUCAUACUUUUUAGUCAGCCAAGAUUUCCAAAAAUCCUUUCUUUGAAUUGGUAUUAACUAAUAUUCUAAUUUUCUAAGAUACUGAAUUUGGGGGUUUCAUUAGUUGUCAGUUAUAAUGAUCACAAGUAAAAGAAAUAAACGUUUGAAAUAGAUCAGAGAAUGAGCCUUCUUCCCAACUACAGCUCAUGUCAACAGAUAACGUCACGCACAUAACGGCUGCACUGCUGUAGUGGGAGAGCUGGUAACAUAUCUUCGCUCUUUAUCACAGUGAAUGCAGGAAGCAUUGCUGGAAGCAAUUGUUUAGUUGUUGUUUAGUAACUGUUUAGUUUUUCUUGUCGGCCAUCUUUCUUUAUUAUUUUUCUUCUGUACGUUUUUCGGCGCGUAACUAGUCCUGCAUACUUUAAGCUACAGAAACCAUUCAAAUAUCAAAAUAUUCAGCUUUUUGAGGAGACGACUACUAUUAUUUUUCUCACUCAUAUCUAAGCAUUUCCAGAAGAAAAUGCACAGUAAAUGCUUCCAUGCUGAAUGUAUAGCUGAAGAAAUGCUGUAAGUAGCUGAUGAAUUGAAUGUAGAGAUGUAUAUAUCCAAAGAGGUGUUUUAAACUUGGUGAAUGUGGAAGCAUAAAUGAAUGUAUCUAAAGAGAAUUACGAGUGGUUUAAAGCUCCCUGAUCAUACAGCUUUUCACUCUAAAGAAUAUUGGACUUUAAUGUCUCAGUAAGGUCUCUGUAAAUUUUCAUUCCAUAAAACUCUUUAGAUCGUCCACACUGCCCCUGUCAAUAUGUUGUUUUCACUCCCCAUCAGCAAACGCUGUGUUUUCUGGGCGUGUCGCAAGCGAAGCUGCUCGCCACACCUCUGUGCGGAAGCGCAUACCUUUUUUGUUGUUGUUGUUUUUUGGCUCCAUGGAUACGAGCCACCGCACGGUUAGGAUACUAUAGGUGGCAGUAGUGCGACGUUGAGAAUACAAUCCAUCGCAAUCCUCCACAGAAGAAGAAGACCCGCUACAGGACUGCACAACAUUAGCCAGCUGGUUCAUAGCGUAGUAGAACCAUACGUCUACGAUCCCGAAUCUGACCCUGAAGCUGAAGAGGAGGCUGUUGAAGUCGCCACAUUUCGGCUGAUGCAAGAUGUGUCUCAUUGUUGUUACAGGUAUCUAAUCUACAGAGGCUAGUGAGCUGGUGCUGAGGAUUCCUAGGGUGAAGAAUCUGAGUUGCCAUCUCUUCAUGCUUGGGUUGUAGAUGAAGGCAGAGUUUCCUGAUGGAUAAAACACUAAAACACUCAUUGUAUGAUGGAUGUAAACCACCUGUGGAAUAACUCCUUUACCAUUUGAGUAAAAAUGUGUUUUUUGUGAGUGCAAUACUCAAAGAAUUUUUUUAUUUUUUAUUUAUAUAUAAUUUAUAUGCUUUUUAUUUAUGGCCGCUUCAACUUUAUAGCUUACCAUAUUAGAAAGAGAAAAAACAUGUAAUUUCAAUACUAUGAUUUCCUGAAUAAAAGUGUUUUCC
Molecule: long non-coding RNA, 3325 nt
Organism: Betta splendens (Siamese fighting fish)
Lineage: Eukaryota; Metazoa; Chordata; Actinopteri; Anabantiformes; Osphronemidae
Exons: 2
Source: RefSeq, a predicted model, not a curated record